Molecule: long non-coding RNA, 319 nt
Organism: Tarenaya hassleriana
Lineage: Eukaryota; Viridiplantae; Streptophyta; Magnoliopsida; Brassicales; Cleomaceae
Exons: 2
Source: RefSeq, a predicted model, not a curated record
CCGCCCCUGCCAGUGGUGCUGGUGGCGCUUCUGCUCCUGAAGCCGAGGAGAAGAAAGAAGAGAAGAAGGAAGAGAAAGAGGAAUCUGAUGAUGACAUGGGUUUCAGUCUCUUCGACUAAGGUUUUUGCAGCCGGGGAAUCACCAAUAUCCGUAUGAAUUCUUUGUCUCUUUUUCAUCACAGUUAUGAAAUUAGGUAUGAAGCAAGAACAAUGACAUAUAUGGAUUUUGUUUCCAUUGAUUAUUGGAUUUUGCUUAUGAAUCAAUGACAUAUAUGGCCAUUUCAGAUUGAUUUCUAAUGCGUCUUUAGAGGCUUCUGGCC